This is a long non-coding RNA of Quercus lobata, 341 nucleotides long. RefSeq lists it as uncharacterized. The transcript is spliced from 3 exons. Lineage: Eukaryota; Viridiplantae; Streptophyta; Magnoliopsida; Fagales; Fagaceae. The record is from RefSeq and is a predicted model, not a curated record.
CAGGAUAUUCAAGAGGCACAUGUUGGGCAAAUAGUUGCUGUAUUUGGUGUGGAUUGUGCAUCAGGAUAUACAUUUACUGAUGGGUCAGUUAAAUCCACAAUGACUUCUAUGAAUGUCCCUAAGCCAAUGAUGUCUUUAGCCGUUCAACCAAUUUCAAAAGAUUCAGGAGGACAAUUUUCAAAGGCUUUGAAUCAUUUUCAGAGAGAGGAUCCUACUUUGUGUAAGUAUAAGUUUUCAUGUAGAUUGUUAGAUUUGGUUCUCCAUUGGGAAAAACUAGACUUUGGUUAAGUUACUUAUAACCAUGACUUGGUGCAGAAACCUUAGCUAUUACUUAGUCCUAA